This 301-nucleotide ribosomal RNA is filed under the name uncultured bacterium. RNAcentral describes it as "partial 16S ribosomal RNA". It matches the Rfam family "Bacterial small subunit ribosomal RNA", at positions 509 to 809 of the family's 1533-position model. The record is from RNAcentral.
CAGUAGCCACGGUAAUACGUAGGUGGCAAGCGUUGUCCGGAAUUAUUGGGCGUAAAGGGCUCGCAGGCGGUUUCUUAAGUCUGAUGUGAAAGCCCCCGGCUCAACCGGGGAGGGUCAUUGGAAACUGGGAAACUUGAGUGCAGAAGAGGAGAGCGGAAUUCCACGUGUAGCGGUGAAAUGCGUAGAGAUGUGGAGGAACACCAGUGGCGAAGGCGACUCUCUGGUCUGUAACUGACGCUGAGGAGCGAAAGCGUGGGGAGCGAACAGGAUUAGAGACCCGUGUAGUCCCUGUCUCUUAUAA